UACGAAGGGAGCUAGCGUUGUUCGGAAUCACUGGGCGUAAAGCGCACGUAGGCGGAUAUGUCAGUCAGGGGUGAAAUCCCGGAGCUCAACUUCGGAACUGCCUUUGAUACAGCACGUCUUGAGUCCGAUAGAGGUGGGUGGAAUUCCUAGUGUAGAGGUGAAAUUCGUAGAUAUUAGGAAGAACACCGGUGGCGAAGGCGGCCAUCUGGACCGGUUCUGACGCUGAGGCGCGAAAGCGUGGGGAGCAAACAGG
Molecule: ribosomal RNA, 253 nt
Filed under: uncultured bacterium
Lineage: Bacteria
Description: partial 16S ribosomal RNA
Rfam family: Bacterial small subunit ribosomal RNA
Source: RNAcentral